Long non-coding RNA from Scylla paramamosain (green mud crab), 1226 nucleotides. RefSeq lists it as uncharacterized. Lineage: Eukaryota; Metazoa; Arthropoda; Malacostraca; Decapoda; Portunidae. The transcript is spliced from 4 exons. The record is from RefSeq and is a predicted model, not a curated record.
AGUUACCACGGCGAGCGGCUGGCUGGCUGCAGUGUUUUGGUCAGCACUGGUCAAUCUUGCCCUACACGCUCUAUUAACCAGUGUUUCCGUCUUCCCGACACCUUCUUCCUGCACCAAGCACCGUCAAGCAUCACCAGAGAGGCACGAGUACGUAAGCUAUCCAACAUCAGAACAGUAUAUGAAUAUGGCAAAUGCUGUUUUGACAUAAUUUCCUGCCAUCCUGAGAAACAGUGAUCUCGAGGAGCAUGAAUUGCAGCUGCAAUGGAAAUUGUGCAUCCAGCGCAAGUUUCAGAAUUCAAGAAAGAGGCAGGAUUCCUCAGUGACUGAGGUGACGUCAAGGAAAAAAGAAGAUCCCUUGCAUAGCGCCAAAAGAGACUACGUGUCCACUGAUGUAUGGAGUAAAGGCUUACCUUCCACCAAGGCCCCAUUCAGAAGAUGAUGAGUCAUUAGAGAGACAUAGACAGUGGCUUGCUCUACAUUGGAUGAAGAAAGAUCCCGAGUUAGAUAAGAUAAUCAAGGAGUUCCUGAGAUUAGAACCACAAGCGGAUGAACCAGACCCAAGAGUAGCAGUUUUGAAAGGGCUGGAGAAAUAUAGGCUCCCAAUAAUUGCCAUUCUCAAAAAAAGAAAAGCAGUUCCUCUGUAUAUGGAAACCAUACUUGAACUCUAUGACCACGAUGAAAGUCAAUGCGAGUACCAGAAGAAGAACUAAGAACAGGGCAGUCUAGUGUGUAUUUGAUGGUGCACCUGUAGCUGAACCAACAUGUAUUUCUAUGGCUGUAGUCUCAUUGAUAGCAGGGCUUAGUGUUUAAUAUUGAACACCCAAAAAAUUGUGAACAUUUCCUCCAUUUCACAACAUCCCAUCUCUUAGGUAUCAAGUAUGACAAAGGUAACACUUCAAAAACAAGAUCUCUACUUGUAAAACUCAAUGAAGUAAAGACAGAAUUGAGCUACAAAAAUGCAUAAAUCUGCUUCCAAAUAUAUUCAACUCCACACAUAAUGCCUCUCUCUCUCUCUCUCUCUCUCUCUCUCUCUCUCUCUCUCUCUCUCUCUCUCUCUCUCUCUCUCUCUCUCUCUCUCUCUCUCUCUCUCUCUCUCUCUCUCUCUCUCUCUCUCUCUCUCUCUCUCUCUCUCUCUCUCUCUCUCUCUCUCUCUCUCUCUCUCUCUCUCUCUGUCACACACACACACACACACACACACACACACACACACACACACACACACACAC